Zea mays is the source of this 561-nucleotide RNA transcript. RefSeq lists it as uncharacterized. NCBI's taxonomy places the organism in Eukaryota, Viridiplantae, Streptophyta, Magnoliopsida, Poales, Poaceae. The transcript has 2 exons. The record is from RefSeq and is marked validated.
AUUCCGUCAAGUCCUUCGACAAAGUCAGCCUCGGCUACGGCGGCAACAAGAAGCUCGACGGCCGCCACUACCAGGUCCAGCUUAAUUAUGCAGAUGACCAUGAUGGUUCCACCUUCGUUCCCGCAAGAACACUCUCUGAACAAGGCCGGAGCACAGGCUGCUUCGCUGGUUGGCUGGUUCUGGUUGUGAAGCACAGAGACGCGGUAUACGGACCGGAGUUCGUCAAGGAUGACGGGAGGAACGAGCUCAGCGGUUUCAGCCUUGCUCAUAUGAAGGAUGUCGACGAUACUGAACUUGACUGAAACGAUGAAGAUUCGGAUGGUGAUUCAGACGACCGACGAGUAUGCGGUCAAGGAGGAAGGAGAGGAGGAGAAGUAGAACUGCUUGGCCAGGUUUCUGCAGUUUCAUUUGUGUUGGCAGAUGCAUUUUCUGGGGUCUCAUCGAGUAUGUGGAUUUUUUUUAUUAUUAUAAUAUAGUAGUAGCAUAGGAUGAGAGUCUCAUAGCCUAUCAUCAACUUGAUUCUAACACACUUUUGCAGUGUCGAGCAUAUGCUUGUCAUUA